GACGAACGCUGGCGGCGUGCUUAACACAUGCAAGUCGAACGGAAAGGCCUGCUUUCCCUUGUGGAUUGCGGGUACUCGAGUGGCGAACGGGUGAGUAACACGUGAGUGAUCUGCCCCCAACUUGGGUAUAAGCCUGGGAAACUGGGUCUAAUUCCCGAUAGGACUGCAGGGUGGUGCCUGUGGUGGAAAACGAUUUUCUAGUGGUUGGGGAUGAGCUCGCGGCCUAUCAGCUUGUUGGUGGGGUAAUGGCCUACCAAGGCGGCGACGGGUAGCCGGCCUGGGAGGGUGGACGGCCACAGUGGGACUGAGAUACGGCCCAGACUCCUACGGGAGGCAGCAGUGGGGAAUAUGGCACAAUGGGCGGAAGCCUGAUGCAGCGACGCCGCGUGGGGGAUGACGGCCUUCGGGUUGUAAACUCCUUUCGACCGCGAGGAAGCCACCUGGUUGGAAGGGUGGUGACGGUAGUGGUAGAAGAAGCACCGGCUAACUACGUG
This 494-nucleotide ribosomal RNA is filed under the name uncultured bacterium. Its description in RNAcentral is "partial 16S ribosomal RNA". It matches the Rfam family "Bacterial small subunit ribosomal RNA", at positions 28 to 507 of the family's 1533-position model. The record is from RNAcentral.